GAUGGAAUCCCAUGUCCGAAUGCUUCUCUUGAGUUGAUGGAUGUUCCAAUUAUUGAUCUUGGUCUCCUCAUCCCUUCCUCAAUCAGUGUGGAAGAACUUGACAAACUCAGAUCAGCUCUUACCGCGCGGUUGCUUUCAGGUAAUAAACCAUGGAAUGACUCUUGAAUUCCUUGACAAAGCCCGUGAAAUCACCAAGCAGUUUUUCGCAAUGCCAGUGGAAGAGAAGCAGAAAUAUUUGAGGCCAGUUGAUGAUUUUGAAGGAUAUGGGAAUGACAUGGUUGUUUCAGAGCAGGAAACACUUGAUUGGACUGACAGACUAUACCUUACUGCAUAUCCACCAGACCAGCGCAAGCUCAAGUUGUGGCCUGAAAAUCCCAAAUCUUUCAGGGAUACUCUAGACCAAUAUACCAGUAAGUUACAGGUGAUAACAGAAACAGUCCUUAAGGGCAUGGCGCGGUCAUUGAAUUUGGAGGAAGAUUGCUUUCUGAACAAGUAUGGAGAACAAAGGAAAAAGGAUGCUAGGUUCAACUUCUAUCUUCCAUGUUCUAGGCCUGAUCGCGUACUCGGUACCAAGCCACAUGCAGAUGGAACAUUAAUAACCCUUCUGUUGCAAGAUAAAGAAGUGGAAGGUCUUCAAUUUAUGAAAGAUGACCAAUGGUAUAGGGCUCCCAUUGUUCCGGAGGCGCUUCUCAUUAAUGUUGGUGAUCAAGCUGAGGUAACUAAAGCUUCAAAUGUAUAUUGAGUGAGCAAUGGACUGUUCAAGAGUCCAGUGCACAAGGUUCUAACAAAUGCAGAAAAGGAGAGGAUAUCCUUGGCUGUGUCCUGUGUCCCCGAUUCAGAGACAGAGAUUGAACCCUUUGAAAGCCUCAUCAAUGAGUCAAGUCCAAGGUUGUACAAAAAGCUGAAGAACUACGUUGGCAUCUAUUUCGAGUACUACCAGCAGGGAAGAAGACCAAUUGAAGCAGCAAUAAUAUAA
Molecule: RNA transcript, 976 nt
Organism: Fragaria vesca subsp. vesca
Lineage: Eukaryota; Viridiplantae; Streptophyta; Magnoliopsida; Rosales; Rosaceae
Gene name: protein SRG1-like
Exons: 5
Source: RefSeq, a predicted model, not a curated record